Molecule: ribosomal RNA, 435 nt
Filed under: uncultured Clostridium sp.
Lineage: Bacteria; Bacillati; Bacillota; Clostridia; Eubacteriales; Clostridiaceae
Also listed under: 1 other name
Description: partial 16S ribosomal RNA
Rfam family: Bacterial small subunit ribosomal RNA
Source: RNAcentral
ACGGGAGGCAGCAGUGGGGAAUAUUGCACAAUGGGCGCAAGCCUGAUGCAGCAACGCCGCGUGAAGGAUGAAGGUUUUCGGAUCGUAAACUUAUGUCUUCAGGGACGAAAUUUGACGGUACCUGAGGAGGAAGCCACGGCUAACUACGUGCCAGCAGCCGCGGUAAUACGUAGGUGGCGAGCGUUAUCCGGAUUUACUGGGUGUAAAGGGCGCGUAGGCGGGCUUUUAAGUCUGAUGUGAAAUCCCGAGGCUUAACCACGGAAUUGCAUUGGAAACUGGAAGUCUUGAGUGCUGGAGAGGAAAGCGGAAUUCCUAGUGUAGCGGUGAAAUGCGUAGAUAUUAGGAGGAACACCAGUGGCGAAGGCGGCUUUCUGGACAGUAACUGACGCUGAGGCGCGAAAGCGUGGGGAGCAAACAGGAUUAGAUACCCUGGUA